RNAcentral lists this ribosomal RNA (254 nucleotides) under uncultured bacterium. RNAcentral describes it as "partial 16S ribosomal RNA". It matches the Rfam family "Bacterial small subunit ribosomal RNA", at positions 524 to 776 of the family's 1533-position model. The record is from RNAcentral.
UACGGAGGGUGCGAGCGUUGUCCGGAAUCAUUGGGCGUAAAGGGCGCGUAGGCGGUCAGCACAAGUCAGUUGUGAAAUCUCCGGGCUUAACUCGGAAAGGUCAACUGAUACUGUGCGACUAGAGUGCAGAAGGGGCAACUGGAAUUCUCGGUGUAGCGGUGAAAUGCGUAGAUAUCGAGAGGAACACCUGCGGCGAAGGCGGGUUGCUGGGCUGACACUGACGCUGAUGCGCGAAAGCCAGGGGAGCGAACGGG